GUUUUAAUAAAUGCCUCCUCAACAUUCUGAGCAGUUUUUGCUGAAGCCUCCAUAAAGAUUAAACCAUGCUCCUUGGCAAAUUGUUCCCCUUCUUCUGUGCUCACAGCCCUUCUAUGAGCAAGAUCACACUUAUUACCAAUAAGCAUAAUUGUCAUGUUAGCAUUUGCAUGCUGCCUGGCGUCCUCCAGCCAGCUAGCCAAGUGAUUAAAAGUUUCCCUCCUGGUAAUGUCAUAGACGAGCAAAGCACCAGCAGCCCCUCUAUAAUAGGACCUCGUAAUAGAUCUAAAGGAUUCUUGCCCCGCCGUGUCCCAAAUUUGGAGCUUGAUUGGUUUGUUGUCGAUAGUGAUCAUUCGAGCCCCAAAUUCCACACCUAUGGUGAGGUCAUGGACGGGCUGGAACCUCUUGUCCGUGAACUGAAGCAGAAGACAGGAUUUCCCAACUCCAGUAUCUCCGAUGAUGAUGUACUUGAAGAGGUAUGCGUAUGACAUGUUUUAUGAGACUUGUGAUUGCAAAAUUUUGCAGAAAGUAAAUGUGCAAGGAUUUG
This 544-nucleotide unclassified non-coding RNA is filed under the name Hevea brasiliensis (rubber tree). The record is from RNAcentral. Lineage: Eukaryota; Viridiplantae; Streptophyta; Magnoliopsida; Malpighiales; Euphorbiaceae.